RNAcentral lists this long non-coding RNA (560 nucleotides) under Phasianus colchicus (ring-necked pheasant). Its description in RNAcentral is "lncRNA (ENSPCLG00000003515.1)". Lineage: Eukaryota; Metazoa; Chordata; Aves; Galliformes; Phasianidae. The record is from RNAcentral.
GUUUCACCAGUGUCUCCUAAAAGAAUUUGCCAUAACUGAGUCAGCACAGUCCUGCUUCCUCCCUGUGUCCUGGUUUCAGCCCAGGCAGUACCGCUUGCACACUGAUGUUUGGUUGUUGUGAGCGACUGGUGCACACCCAGGCCUGGGCCUCUUGGAAGGGCAGAGCGCCGCCAUGAUGGCAUGGGGCAGAGGUGGCUGCAGGGCAGGCUGGAUGAGGCCACGUGUGGCCUGCAGGCCACAGGUUGGCCAUGGCUACUCUAGUCCAUUGCAGUCAGCGUGGUUCAAGAGGAUUUGGGGACAGUGAAUGCUUCCACAACUACUGUACAAAUAACACCCAAUAUUCAAGUUUGCCAGGAUGGAGUAUAUCACAGCUUUGAAGUUGCUUGAUGGGUUGAGAGCAUAUAACUACUUUUCCCUCCUGCCAAGACCUUUCAGAGAUGAAGACAGAGGCUGUGUACCACAAACACCCAUAUUAAAUAGCCUUCUCAUCAGAUUCUUGGCAUUUAUGACAGGAAUGGAAAAGCUCAGCAACAGCAACACUGCUAAAGAAUAAAACAUCC